Molecule: ribosomal RNA, 514 nt
Filed under: uncultured bacterium
Lineage: Bacteria
Description: bacterial SSU rRNA
Rfam family: Bacterial small subunit ribosomal RNA
Source: RNAcentral
UCAGAACGAACGCUGGCGGCGUGCUUAACACAUGCAAGUCGAACGCGAAAGGGACUUCGGUCCUGAGUAAAGUGGCGCACGGGUGAGUAACGCGUAGAUAACCUGUCUUCAUGUCUGGAAUAAUACGCCGAAAGGGGUACUAAUACCGGAUAUUCUUGCUUUUCAUAAGUUAUGCAAGCAAAGGUGGCCUCUGCAUAUGCUACUGCAUGAAGAGGGGUCUGCGUACCAUUAGCUAGUAGGUGGGGUAAUGGCCUACCUAGGCGACGAUGGUUAGCGGGUCUGAGAGGAUGAUCCGCCACACUGGCACUGGAACACGGGCCAGACUCCUACGGGAGGCAGCAGUGAGGAAUAUUGCGCAAUGGGGGAAACCCUGACGCAGCGACGCCGCGUGAGUGAGGAAGGCCUUCGGGUCGUAAAGCUCUGUCAAGAGGAAAGAAGUGUACAAUGGCUAAUACCUGUUGUAUUUGACGGUACCUCUAAAGGAAGCACCGGCUAACUCCGUGCCAGCCGCGGC